RNAcentral lists this ribosomal RNA (232 nucleotides) under uncultured bacterium. Its description in RNAcentral is "partial 16S ribosomal RNA". It matches the Rfam family "Bacterial small subunit ribosomal RNA", at positions 104 to 334 of the family's 1533-position model. The record is from RNAcentral.
CGGGGUGAGUAACGCGUGGAUAACCUGCCUCACACUGGGGGAUAACAGUUAGAAAUGACUGCUAAUACCGCAUAAGCGCACAGUACCGCAUGGUACGGUGUGAAAAACUCCGGUGGUGUGAGAUGGAUCCGCGUCUGAUUAGCUAGUUGGUAAGGUAACGGCUUACCAAGGCGACGAUCAGUAGCCGACCUGAGAGGGUGACCGGCCACAUUGGGACUGAGACACGGCCCAA